ACGUCGCGCUGCCGGUGCCGGCACACGCCGCCGUGGCCUGAUAGGCCGCGCCCGUCAGGCGCUGUUCGAUCGCCGGCGUCGUG
RNAcentral lists this transfer RNA (83 nucleotides) under Actinoplanes sp. NBRC 101535. RNAcentral describes it as "tRNA-Ile". Lineage: Bacteria; Bacillati; Actinomycetota; Actinomycetes; Micromonosporales; Micromonosporaceae. The record is from RNAcentral.